CAUUACCUCAAAUCAGGAUGAACC
This 24-nucleotide ribosomal RNA is filed under the name uncultured Archaeospora. RNAcentral describes it as "partial 28S ribosomal RNA". Lineage: Eukaryota; Fungi; Glomeromycota; Glomeromycetes; Archaeosporales; Archaeosporaceae. The record is from RNAcentral.